This 469-nucleotide long non-coding RNA is filed under the name Mytilus galloprovincialis (Mediterranean mussel). The record is from RNAcentral. Lineage: Eukaryota; Metazoa; Mollusca; Bivalvia; Mytilida; Mytilidae.
AAAUACCCCUAAAUAGACCCCAAUGCACAAACGAACAAUAAAUUGCUCAUCUAGACAUAUAAGUCUAACAUUCUAUGAAACCCUAAGUUAAUCUGACAAGCGAUUUGGAGAAACGCUGCGGACAAGUUCAUUUUUAAAGUGGCGGAAGAAGAGGAAGAAGGAGAAGAAGAAGAGGAAGAAGAAGAAUAAUAAAAAUAAUAAGAACUGAGCAAAAACAAUAAGUCUCCAAACUUUGUUUGGGAGACUUAAUAAUCACAAAAUGCGCGCAAAUGAAAUGCGUCCGCAUAACUUUCACUUACGGAAAAGCGAUUUAUGUUGUACAAACGGGUAUCAUUAUUUGCGAAAGAGUCGUUAGCAAAAUACGACGACUGGGGAAAAAAAAUCCCGUUUACUUCGUGAAUAUUGUGAAAUUUGCGCUAAAACAGCUUUUACUUUUUUUUAGUGUGCCCUUUUAUACUAGUAUGCGGCA